Molecule: long non-coding RNA, 782 nt
Filed under: Pan troglodytes (chimpanzee)
Lineage: Eukaryota; Metazoa; Chordata; Mammalia; Primates; Hominidae
Description: long non-coding RNA NONPTRT000526
Source: RNAcentral
GUAUGAGAAUGCUGGAAGAUAAAUGAACCAUUUCACGCUGCUGAUUCAAGGUCACUAAAGGAUAUGUUGAGUUAGACAAUGAGUGUUGGACAUUUGUGUUGGUUCCAAGUCUUUGCUAUUGUGAAUAGUGCCACAAUAAACAUACGUGUGCAUGUGUCUUUAUAGCAGCAAGAUUUAUAAUCCUUUGGGUAUAUACCCAGUAAUGGGAUAGCUGAGUCAAAUGGUAUUUCUAGUUCUAGAUCCCUGAGGAUUCACCACACUGACUUCCACAAUUGUUGAACUAGUUUACAGUCCCACCAACAUUAUAAAAGUGUUCCCAUUUCUCCACAUCCUCUCCAGCACCUGUUGUUUCUUGACUUUUUGAUGAUCGCCAUCCUAACUAGUGUGAGAUGAUACCUCAUUGUGGUUUUGAUUUGCAUUUCUCUGAUGGCCAGUGAUGAUGAGCAUUUUUUCAUGUGCUUUUUGGCUGCAUAAAUGUCUUCUUUUGAGAAGUGUCUGUUCAUAUCCUUUGCCCACUUGUUGAUGGGGUUGUUUGUUUUUUUCUUGUUAAUUUCUGUGCAGAAGGUCUUCAGUUUAAUUAAAUUCCAUUUGUCUAGUUUGGCUUUUGUUGCCAUUGCUUUUGGUAUUUUAGACAUGAAGUCCUUGCCCAUGCCUAUGUCCUGAAUGGUAUUGCCUAGGUUUUCUUCUAGGGUUUUUAUGGUUUUAGGUCUGACAUUUAAGUCUUUAAUCCAUCUUGAAUUAAUUUUUGUAUAAGGUGUAAGGAAGGGAGCCAGUUUCAGCUU